This 400-nucleotide unclassified non-coding RNA is filed under the name Hevea brasiliensis (rubber tree). The record is from RNAcentral. Lineage: Eukaryota; Viridiplantae; Streptophyta; Magnoliopsida; Malpighiales; Euphorbiaceae.
GCGAGCGAGCAAGCGAGAGAUCGAUCUCGAAGAUGAAGUUCGUGAUGGAGUUCGCCGAAAACCUAAUCCUCCGCCUCAUGGAGGAUCCCGUGGCCCGGGACCAGCGGAACCGCGACCACAUCUACGCGGUCAAGGAGCAGUGCAAGAAGACCAAGGCCAAUUGGAACCUCCCCCUCCGCCCCUACGGUUUCUGGACCUUCGAUCGCUUCAAUGCCCAGAUCUACGCCGACGCCCAGAUCAGCCAGGCCCCCGGCCGCCGCGAUCCCUAUGAUGACCUCCUUGACCAGCCGCCACCACCCCAUGCCCGGCCACCGUCUCAAGUCUGAAUGGAUCUGAUUGUGGGUGGUAUGCUUUUGCCUGGAGAAGUGGUCCAAGUUACUGUAGGAGAAGGUAAUACAAG